Molecule: ribosomal RNA, 467 nt
Filed under: uncultured bacterium
Lineage: Bacteria
Description: partial 16S ribosomal RNA
Rfam family: Bacterial small subunit ribosomal RNA
Source: RNAcentral
ACGAACGCUGGCGGCGUGCUUAACACAUGCAAGUCGAACGGAAAGGCCCUGCUUUUGUGGGGUGCUCGAGUGGCGAACGGGUGAGUAACACGUGAGUAACCUGCCCUUGACUUUGGGAUAACUUCAGGAAACUGGGGCUAAUACCGGAUAGGAGCUCCUGCUGCAUGGUGGGGGUUGGAAAGUUUCGGCGGUUGGGGAUGGACUCGCGGCUUAUCAGCUUAUUGGUGGGGUAGUGGCUUACCAAGGCUUUGACGGGUAGCCGGCCUGAGAGGGUGACCGGCCACAUUGGGACUGAGAUACGGCCCAGACUCCUACGGGAGGCAGCAGUGGGGAAUAUUGCACAAUGGGCGGAAGCCUGAUGCAGCAACGCCGCGUGCGGGAUGACGGCCUUCGGGUUGUAAACCGCUUUCGCCUGUGACGAAGCGUGAGUGACGGUAAUGGGUAAAGAAGCACCGGCUAACUACGUG